AUACGAGGGGUCCUAGCGUUGUUCGGAAUCAUUGGGCGUAAAGCGGGUGUAGGUGGACUAUUAAGUCAGAAGUGAAAGCCCUGGGCUCAACCCAGGAAGUGCUUUUGAUACUGGUAGUCUUGAGUGUGGGAGAGGAUAGCGGAAUUCCUGGUGUAGUGGUGAAAUACGUAGAUAUCAGGAGGAACAUCGGUGGGGAAGCCGGCUGUCUGGCCUAACACUGACACUCAGACCCGAAAGCGUGGGGAUCAAACAGGAUUAGAUACCCUAGUAGUCC
This 274-nucleotide ribosomal RNA is filed under the name uncultured bacterium. Its description in RNAcentral is "partial 16S ribosomal RNA". It matches the Rfam family "Bacterial small subunit ribosomal RNA", at positions 523 to 796 of the family's 1533-position model. The record is from RNAcentral.